UCCCAAGGGGACUGGUGGAGCCCUCACAACCUGCUCAGGGCUACUUGACCCUGGAGGGUCAGCCGAAGAGUCUAGUCUAGCUCCAGGACCAACCAAGUCCCCUCUGCGCCAGUUCGGGAACUUCUGGAGGAAGCCGGGCUACCGAUGACAUGCUAAUGGAUCGGGCUUUGGGAAGGCCUGGUUGCUCUGGACAAGAAACCCUGAUUGGUGAAGAACAACUGACCAGCUGUCUCCAGUCCUGUCUGGGAUCAUGUGAGCUUCCAGUCAAAUGAUGGCUCCAGAAUGCUCCCUGGGUGCAGCAAUUAAAAGGGAGGCUUUGCUCUGCACAAACUACCAACCCAGGCUCCUCACCAGGCCUCAGCCCACCACAGAGUGAGAACAGGUCUACAUCUAGCAUGGAGAAACAGGUUGUGUAGCCUUGCCCUCAGACAUGAAUUAUCUGCCUGCAGCUACUCUCUCUCUCUCUCUCUCUCUCUCUCUCUCUCUCUCUCUCUCGCUCUGGUUUUUCUUUUUCCAGACAGGGUUUCCUGGCUGUCCUGGAACUCACUGUGUAGACCAGGCUGGCCUCAAACUCAGAAAUCCGCCUGCCUCUGCCUCCCAAGUGCUGGGAUUAAAGACAUGUGCCACCACCACCCUCCGACUCUGGCUGUCUCUCUUAAAGAGUCCCCACCUCUGAUUUUUAAAGGUGUGACCUUGAAGGAGCCUCUGAGGUAUGAGAGGUAUUUGGGGGC
RNAcentral lists this long non-coding RNA (731 nucleotides) under Mus musculus (house mouse). RNAcentral's name for it is "predicted gene 14343". Lineage: Eukaryota; Metazoa; Chordata; Mammalia; Rodentia; Muridae. The record is from RNAcentral.